GCUACACUUGACCAUGGCGGCAAUAAAGAUGACUUUGAAGAAUGGCAUGGGAUGGAUCCUUUUGAAUGCACUCAAGCAGGGGUCUCCAACCACAGGGCCACAGAACCGGAGCUGAAUCUACCAUGAAAGACUUCAGAAUCCAGGAAGAGAGACUGACUGGGCAACAUCUUAUUCAGGAGAUGGGGUCUCACCCUGUCACCCAGGCUGAAAUACAGUGGUGUAAUCACAGCUCACUGCAGCCUUGAACUCCUGGGCUAAGGAUCCUCCUUCCUCAGCCUCCUGAGUAGCUGGGACUUGUAGGGUCUUGCUCUAUUGUCCAGGCUGGAGUGUAGUGACGCCAUCACAGCUGACUGCAGCCUCAACCUCCCAGGCUCAAGCGAUCCUCCCACCUCAGCCUCCUAAGUGACUGAGACUAUAGGUGCUUGCUACUAUGCCCAACUAAUAUUUGGACUUUUCCUAUAUGUGGGUUCCAGAGGGCUGACUGUGAAAC
This 490-nucleotide long non-coding RNA is filed under the name Pongo abelii (Sumatran orangutan). RNAcentral's name for it is "lincRNA". Lineage: Eukaryota; Metazoa; Chordata; Mammalia; Primates; Hominidae. The record is from RNAcentral.